This 371-nucleotide ribosomal RNA is filed under the name uncultured organism. RNAcentral's name for it is "partial 16S ribosomal RNA". It matches the Rfam family "Bacterial small subunit ribosomal RNA", at positions 527 to 896 of the family's 1533-position model. The record is from RNAcentral.
GGAGGGUGCAAGCGUUAUUCGGAAUCACUGGGCGUAAAGAGCGCGUAGGCGGUUUCUAAAGUCAGAUGUGAAAGCCCGGGGCUCAACCCCGGAAGUGCAUUUGAAACUUAGGGACUUGAGUAUGGGAGAGGGAAGUGGAAUUCCUGGUGUAGCGGUGAAAUGCGUAGAUAUCAGGAGGAACACCGGUGGCGAAGGCGACUUCCUGGACCAAUACUGACGCUGAGGCGCGAAGGCGUGGGGAGCAAACAGGAUUAGAUACCCUGGUAGUCCACGCAGUAAACGUUGAACACUAGGUGUAGCGGGUAUUGACCCCUGCUGUGCCGCAGCUAACGCAUUAAGUGUUCCGCCUGGGGAGUACGGCCGCAAGGCUA